RNA transcript from Vidua chalybeata, 2735 nucleotides. It is a transcript of the gene named nuclear receptor binding factor 2, with no coding region annotated. NCBI's taxonomy places the organism in Eukaryota, Metazoa, Chordata, Aves, Passeriformes, Viduidae. The record is from RefSeq and is a predicted model, not a curated record. The transcript is spliced from 7 exons.
CUCGCGGGCAGGGCGGAAGCGGCCGCCGUGUUUACAACCCGCGCCGGGGCCGGGACGCGCCGGGCCGGGGGCACCGGCGAGCGCCCCUCGCCCAUGUGCCCGCAGCCCCCGCCGCCCAUGGAAGUGAUGGAGGGGCCCCUCAACCUGGCUCACCAGCAAAGCAGAAAAGCAGACCGCUUGUUGGCAGCAGGGAAAUAUGAAGAAGCAAUUUCUUGUCACAAAAAAGCUGCUGGGUACCUUACAGACGCGAUGAAGCUGACCCAGUCGGAGCAGGCUCAGCUAUCGCUGGAAUUACAAAGGGAUAGUCAUAUGAAACAGUUACUGCUCAUCCAGGAGAGGUGGAAAAGGGCAAAGAGGGAGGAAAAACUGAAAGCCCAGCAGAGUGCUGACAAGGAAGCAGCCACACAUCUUCAGACUUCUUACAAACCAUCUGCUGAAGACUCUGAUGAUCAAAAUGUACUGGUUCCUGUUGCUCAGAAAUACAGCUCCUCCACAGAGAAACAUUCACAGGAUAUUCGGGGUGUCUUUGACAGGGACCCAGAUACACUUUUAUUUCUGCUUCAGAAAAAAAAGGAGCCAGUGGAAGCAUGUAUUGGGAGUAAAGCGCCAAAAGAUGACAAAACAAUAAUAGAAGAGCAGGCAACCAAAAUUGCAGAUUUGAAGCAGCUCAUAGAAUCUCUUGUAGCUGAAAAUGAGAGAUUGAGGAGAGAGAAUAAGCAGUUAAAAGCAGAAAGAGCUAGACUCCAGAAAUCUCCAGUAGACAAAGAGUUGGAUGUAGAUACUGACUUUGUCGAGAAGUCAGAGUUGUGGGGUCUGCAGCAGCACUCAGAAUCUGCUUCUUCAGCUGCAACUUGGCAGAAGUUUGCAACAACUGCUGGGAAGGCAAAGGACAUUCCAAUACCCAACCUUCCCCCCCUGGACAUCCCAUCCCCUGAACUCCCGCUGCUGGAACUCUCUGACGAUAUACUGAAAGGACUGAUGAAUAGUUAAAAACCAGGAAAAGUGCUCAGUGUAGUUACCCAAGCUUGAGAAAAGGGAAAGCCACCAGGACAAUGGUGAUCUGAGGGCAGAAACAUUUACCACAAUCCUACUGUUGGAGAAAAGGCAUUAAGCAACUUUGUUACUGUGAAAUACACUUCAUAUCUGAUUUACUUCAUGGAAGUUAAAGACUUGGAAGUGCAGCAAGAACACCUUACUGCUCUGCAAAUUCUCCCCUUACUUCUGUAUACCUGGCAUCUUCUGUGCUUGAAGGAGCAUAGGGACUGGAGGUUAGAAAAAGUCUGUAGAAACAGUCUGCCUACUCAAUACAACUGCUGCCGAAUCCCAACUCCAGGCAGUAACGCUGAGCACGGGUGUGUUCCACUUUCGUGAGUGAUGCUGAAUUUUUUAAAGUAAGGAAUUCUUCAGUCUGAGUCCAGAGCUAAGCAAUUACUCGGUGCACUGGAAUAAGUGGUAUUUGGAGUACCUGUGAACUUCAACAACUUCUGGCACUGUUUAGACACUUCCAGUUUCCCCCACGGAGAGAAGAACAUCUACAGCCUGACAGGCAGGUGCCAGGGAUCCCUGCCCAGGUCUCUAAGCACUCUAGGGUGGCAGGGCCAGCUGUCAGCGGGGCCCAAAGGGUGGUACCAAAGCUCAGACCUCGAGGCACAGGAGCUGUCAAAUGUACAGGCACUGGAGAAGAGGUAGAGGUGGAGGAAGAGGUCGUUGCCUGGCCAGGGCAGGCGUGGCAACAUGACAUUUUGGGACAGUAACUCAGGGGACACCAAGCCCUGUGCCCCCACUCAGCUGCCAAGACACACCAUCAUAGGGGUGAGCAGUGAUGGCCCAGACCCAACAACUGCUCUUGGCUGCAGGAAAAGAACCAAGGGGAAUGGGACUCUGCAGCGGGAAUGAUAAUUUCAUACUUGUAAGGCAUGUUAAAAAAAAUUCAAUUGAAGAAGAAAAUACUUAAAUAUUUACAUAUCCUGAACUUAAAAUACAAAGUAUGUACAACUAGAGUCCACUUCUCAUUAAGCAAAUGUACACUGGCAAAUCCUGCAUUUUCAGCCAAUGCUCUAAUGCUGCAGGGAAGAAUAAAGAUAAUAAUGGAUUGAACAGGCUACAAAGCUGAGAAGCAAUUGCUAAGUGCAGCACCAUUAACUCCCUGGUAUUUCUCUGCAACUUGACAAAACUCAAGUUCUCGAGCCAACUAAAUAUUCUGACUUUUGGAAUGAGGAAUUGCUUUUGUGCUUUAUUAUUUUGAAAGGUAACUUACAUGGGAUUUGGGGUUUUUGGUGACCCCAAAUUCAGUCAGAUGUGUCAGGCUGGAAGAGUAAUCAGGCUUGUUACUGUAACCAGGUUAAUUACUAUCCCCUUUUGGACAUCUCACGAGCUGGCCAUUGGCUCUGCCUAAUAUUUGGUAAUCUAUCUAAGUAUUUGAAUAGUUUCAAUAACUUAAAGCACACUUCUUGUGAAGAUUUUCAAACUCACUCCAAAACCUAGAAUUCUGCUCAACUGCUAACAUUUAUCAUUAUUAAAUUAAAAAAAUAUAAAAAUACAUUUUUAAAAACAUCCAUUAUUUUGUAGUAUUGAACCAUUAAAGGCAAAUUGUUACGAAAUAAUCAUUCUACAGAAACGCCUUUCCCCUUCCCGUAGAGGAAGUGCCGAUUCCUAAAGGGAAGGGGGCGAGUGGCAGAGGCUCCCGCCAGCGCCGCGCUCGCAGUGCCGGCUGCGGCCCGCAGAGGGCAGCACUC